CAGGUGAGAAAUCUGCAGUGAAGAAAGGUACAUCCCAAGGGGACACCGACAGCUGAGGGAGAGAAGAUCUGAGUCAGAGAGGAGUUCUGGAGAAACCAAGCGCAUCCCCCUCAACAUGAACUCCAGUCAAGAUUGGUCAGGUGCAGUGGCUUAUGCCUGUAAUCCCAGCUGAGGCAGGAGGAUCGCUUGAGCCCAGGAGUUUGAGACCAGCCUCGCCCACAUCUUCCAUCAGAGGAUCCCACGAAAACAGUGCCAAAGAGAAUUCAGAACUACGUCCACUGGUCCAGUAACCCAUGAUAAGAAAACUGAGGCUCAGAACGGGAAGUUCAUUGCUCAUCAUCAAACAUCCAGGAAAUGGUGGAGCCUGAAUGGGAACUCAGCUUCCAACAUGGCGUGGAUGUGGCCCAUCCCUUGGUGGCCUGGCUGGGUCUAUCUUAUGACAGUACGAGAUUGAAUGUUGGAGUGCCUUGCAGAAGAGAGAGAAAAUGUUGCUAAAACUUCAGGGGAAUGACUGGU
Molecule: long non-coding RNA, 516 nt
Filed under: Homo sapiens (human)
Lineage: Eukaryota; Metazoa; Chordata; Mammalia; Primates; Hominidae
Description: HSALNT0398530
Source: RNAcentral